This 253-nucleotide ribosomal RNA is filed under the name uncultured bacterium. Its description in RNAcentral is "partial 16S ribosomal RNA". It matches the Rfam family "Bacterial small subunit ribosomal RNA", at positions 524 to 776 of the family's 1533-position model. The record is from RNAcentral.
GACGAACCGUGCGAACGUUAUUCGGAAUAACUGGGCUUAAAGGGAGCGUAGGCGGGCUAUCAAGUCUGGGGUGAAAUCCCGCGGCUCAACCGUGGAACUGCCUCAGAUACUGACGGCCUCGAGGGAGAUAGGGGCAUGCGGAACUGUAGGUGGAGCGGCGAAAUGCGUUGAUAUCUACAGGAACUCCGGUGGCGAAAGCGGCGUGCUGGAUCUCUUCUGACGCUGAGGCUCGAAAGCUAGGGGAGCAAACGGG